RNA transcript from Panicum hallii, 4233 nucleotides. It is a transcript of the gene named DNA-directed RNA polymerases IV and V subunit 2-like, with no coding region annotated. Lineage: Eukaryota; Viridiplantae; Streptophyta; Magnoliopsida; Poales; Poaceae. The transcript is spliced from 8 exons. The record is from RefSeq and is a predicted model, not a curated record.
AUGGAAGAGCUACAGAAGGACGGUGGGCAAUCACCAAACCUAUCUGAUUCUGAGCCAGAACUUAUGGUAAUAGAUGACGAUGGAGAGGAAAAGUUCCAUAACAUGGAUGAGGGAAGCAAUGAUUCUCCUAUACAUGUUGAUGAAGGACAGUCCUCAAUGGAUGUGGAUGUGAAGGGAAAAACAUCCCUUGAUGAUGAAUCCCGUGAUGAUGAUGUUAAUGGAAAAUCUUCUUCUGAUCCAUGCUCAAAUGUUCCAAUCGACGUGAGUGUAGAAAGCCUAGAGAAGUUUUGCAAAGAAGCAUCAAGAUCUUUCUUUGAUGAAAUUGGUCUGAUUAGCCAUCAGAUAAAUUCCUAUAAUGAGUUUGUCUCGCAUGGGCUCCAGGAGCUUUUUGAUUCACUCGGCGAAGUCAUUGUUGAUCCUGGUUAUGAUCCUUCAAAGAAAGUGUCAGGUAGCUGGAAGCAUGCCAUCAUCAAGUUUGGGAGAGUGAAGCUUGAAAAGCCUGUAUUCUUGUCUGGCAAAGAUGAAGUUGAUAUUGAUUUGAAACCGAGGCAUGCUCGCCUCCAGAACAUGACAUAUGCUUCCAAAAUUAAAGUAGAAGUGACGAUUCAGGUUUAUUCUUUAGAGAAAAGUGACAAGUCUAAAACAGGGAAUGACGGUUUUGUUCAAAAAAGGGACUUUAUGAAUGAAACUCAUUGGAUAUAUAUUGGCCGCCUUCCAGUUAUGGUGAAAUCAGAUUUGUGCUUGCUGCAUAGUCACAAGGAAAGUGACUGCCUGUUCGAUGCAGGCGGAUACUUUUUGGUUAAGGGAAUGGAGAAGGUAUUCAUUGCUCAAGAGCAAAGAUGCCUGAGCAGGCUUUGGAUUGCUGACAGACCUUGCUGGACUGUCUCUUUUAUGUCUGAAAUCAAGCGAAGGCGCAUAUAUAUUAAACUAGUGGAAUCUACAAAGAGUGAAGAUUUCAGUGGGAGCAAAAUCAUUUCCAUUUCCUUUCUGUAUGCGACAAUGCCAAUUUGGUUGAUGUUUUUUGCACUAGGAAUAUCAUCAGACAAGGAAGCUUUUGAUGUGAUAGAUAUGCAAGAUUGUGAUGCUUCUGUUGUCAACACAAUAUCUGCAACUAUCAAAGAAUCUGAUGGACUGUGUGAAGGCUUUCGUAAAUCAGAUAAAGCACGUCAAUAUGUUGAUAAGUUGGUAAAAAAUUCAAGAUUUCCUCCAGCAGAGUCCUUUGAUGACUAUGUUGAUAAGUUUCUCUUUCCUGAUAUUAGUGGAUAUAGGAACAAAGCACUUUUCUUAGGUUACAUGGUGAAAUGCCUGCUAAUGGCUUUUAUUGGAAAGCGCAAAUGUGACAAUAAGGAUGAUUUCCGGAAUAAGAGGUUGGACCUGGCUGGUGAAUUGCUUGGAAGGGAACUUCGGGCACAUAUUAGGCAUGCAGAGAGACGCAUGAUUAAGGCUAUUCAGAGAGAUUUGAAUAGUGACCGCGAGUUACAAGAUCUUGCACGCUAUCUUGAUGCAUCGAUUGUCACUAAUGGUCUAAACCGUGCCUUUUCCACUGGUUCUUGGUGCCAUCCCUACAAAAGAAAUGAACGGUGCUCAGGAAUUGUUGCGACUCUAAGGAGAACAAAUCCUCUUCAAAUGAUGUCUGACUUGAGGAAAACCCGUCAGCGGGUUGCUUAUGCUGGGAAAGCUGGUGAUGCUAGAUAUCCGAAUCCAUCCUACUGGGGAAAGCUGUGUUUUAUGUCCACUCCUGAUGGUGAAAACUGUGGACUUGUGAAAAAUCUAGCUGUUACUGCUAUUGUUAGCUCUAGGGUGGUGCAACCUUUGAUUGAGAGCUUCAUUUCUUGUGGAAUGAGUAAGCUGAAUGAAAUUCCUACUGAGAGCAUUCAGAGAAUGGAUAAGAUCUUUCUCAAUGGCAAUUGGGUAGGAUCUUGUACUGAUUCAGCUUCAUUUGUAUUGCGAUUAAGGUGCAUGAGACGCAGCAGUCUGAUCGAUCCACAGGUUGAAAUCAAAAGGGACAAGCACCAAAAGGAAGUUCGUGUGUUUUCUGAUGCAGGGCGACUCCUCAGACCCCUUCUUGUUGUUGAAAAUCUCAAUAAAAUCAGAAAACCAAAGGGCCGCCAAUACUCUUUCCAGGAAUUAAUGCAACAAGAAAUAAUUGAGUUCAUUGGUGUUGAGGAGGAGGAGGAUAUACAAUGUGCCUGGGGAAUCAGACAUUUAUUUGGGAGUGAAGGGGAGAUAUCUAGUUAUACUCACUGUGAGCUGGAUCCUUCUUUUCUGCUGGGACUAAGUUGCGGUAUCAUUCCUUUUGCAAACCACAAUUUUGCUCGGAGGGUACUAUACCAAUCUGAAAAACACUCACAGCAAGCUAUUGGGUACUCCACGACAAACCCACACAUCAGAGUUGAUACUCUUUCUCAUCAACUAUAUUAUCCUCAGAGACCUCUUUUCAAAACAGUUAUAGCUGACUGUCUUGGCAGAUCAGAUUAUACUAUUGGAAGAAGAGAUGACUUUUCUAGACCAGAAUAUUUCAACGGUCAAAAUGCGAUUGUAGCAGUCAAUGUUCAUCAGGGGUUUAACCAAGAGGAUUCCCUGGUUAUGAAUAGGGCUUCUCUUGAACGUGGUAUGUUUCGGACUGAGCACCUCAGGAGCUAUAAGGCAGAUGUUGAAAACAAAGAUGGAACCAAACGACUGAAGAAGGAAAAGAUAGACUUUGCAAAAAUGGAAAGCAAAAGAGGGUGUGUCGACAAUCUUGAUGAUGAUGGCUUACCUUACAUUGGUGCAAGUCUUCAGACCAAUGACAUUAUUAUUGGCAAAGUUUCAGAAUCUGGAGAAGACCACAGUAUUAAGCUGAAGCAUACUGAGAAGGGAAUGGUUCAGAAAGUAUUGCUUUCAGCAAAUGAUGAAGGGAAGAAUUUUGCUGUUGUUACUUUAAGACAGGUUCGAACGCCGUGCCUUGGAGAUAAGUUUUCUAGCAUGCAUGGCCAGAAAGGCGUUGUUGGCUUUCUAGAAUCUCAGGAGAACUUCCCAUUUACUCACGAAGGAAUAGUCCCGGAUAUUGUGAUAAAUCCACAUGCCUUCCCAACACGUCAAACUCCCGGCCAGUUGCUUGAAGCUGCUUUGGGGAAGGGAAUUGCCCUCGGAGGUACAAUGAGAUAUGCUACACCAUUCACCACAGCAUCAGUUGAUGUUAUCGCAGAGCAGUUGCACAAGUUUGGAUUUUCAAAAUGGGGAGCCGAGAGCGUUAUAAAUGGCCGAACUGGUGAAAGGAUGCAGUCCUUGGUUUUCAUGGGCCCUACAUUUUACCAAAGGUUGAUUCACAUGUCCGAAGAUAAGGUGAAAUUCCGCAACACUGGGCCAGUGCACCCCCUCACAAGGCAGCCUGUCGCUGACAGGAAAAGGUUUGGUGGAGUUAAGUUUGGAGAAAUGGAGCGUGAUUGCCUCCUCGCCCAUGGAGCAGCUGCCAACCUGCAUGAGCGGUUGUUCAUGCUUAGUGAUUUCUCCCAGAUGCACAUCUGCCAGACAUGCGAGCGGGUGGCUAAUGUUAUCAUGAGGUGUGUCCCAGGAGGGAAAAAGAUCAGGGGUCCAUACUGCGGCUUCUGCAAGUCUUCCGAGAACAUAGUGAGGAUCAAUGUGCCCUAUGGUGCAAAGCUGCUCUACCAGGAACUCUUCAGCAUGGGGAUCUGCCUCAAGUUCGAGACAGAAGUCUGCUAGAACUCCUAAAGCUAUUUGUUAUCCAGUCAUGUACAUAAUCCUGUGUGAUGCUGGCAUAGCAAGGAUGGGCGAACCCGAUGGAGUGAAUUGCACUGGCAGCAGGAUAUUUCCAUUGGGUAGGGGGUGUCUGUCUCAAGUUUCAGAAGAAACCCUGUUGAAACUAAACCUUGUAGCGUUUAUGUGCUGCUUCACUCUGCUCAUUUGGAAAUGUUGCAAUUGCGGCCUGGUGCAGACUGCUGAGCUGAUGGGUUCGAUGGUUCGUAGGUUUGCAGCAUGAUUCAUGACAAGGAUUACUGAAGUUUAGAAGCAAAUGUUAUGCUUGCCUUGGAAUCGUAGGUGCUACAAUAGGCUUGACGUUUGAGUCUACAGACUCCUGUCUGCAAAUUGAGCGAGUUGAAAUUGUCAAUUGACUCUGAGAGAAACUGCACCUGUAGUGUGCAUUGGAAUCGUUGAUCUGGUAGCCGUGUUGUUUGGAUUAACGGAAUAAUUACUAGUUCGAGGUCAUCUUCAUCCUAGGGCUUGAAGGGGAAA